This 426-nucleotide ribosomal RNA is filed under the name uncultured bacterium. Its description in RNAcentral is "bacterial SSU rRNA". It matches the Rfam family "Bacterial small subunit ribosomal RNA", at positions 356 to 774 of the family's 1533-position model. The record is from RNAcentral.
GGGGAAUAUUGGACAAUGGGCGAAAGCCUGAUCCAGCCAUGCCGCGUGUGUGAAGAAGGUCUUCGGAUUGUAAAGCACUUUAAGUUGGGAGGAAGGGUUUCUGGCUAAUAUCCAGGAAUUUUGACGUUACCGACAGAAUAAGCACCGGCUAACUACGUGCCAGCAGCCGCGGUAAUACGUAGGUGGCAAGCGUUGUCCGGAAUUAUUGGGCGUAAAGCGCGCGCAGGUGGUUUCUUAAGUCUGAUGUGAAAGCCCACGGCUUAACCGUGGAGGGUCAUUGGAAACUGGGAGACUUGAGUGCAGAAGAGGAAAGUGGAAUUCCAAGUGUAGCGGUGAAAUGCGUAGAGAUUUGGAGGAACACCAGUGGCGAAGGCGACUUUCUCGUCUGCAACUGACGCUGAGGCGCGAAAGCGUGGGGAGCAAACA